CACUGACUGAAAGGGUUUGGAGAACUUUGAGCAUUCAGGACCUACCAGGCAUUUCACUGACAGGCUUAUAGGGAGCUGACUCUUCAGGCUACUGCAGAAGAUUGGCUGCCCUCCAUGACUGCAAGCCAUUGUUACCUCAUUCCACAAGACCAUGCACAGCAUGGUUUGCUUUAAUGGCGCAACAUCUCAGGCCUUCCCAGUUGGCAGCGGAGUCAAACAAGGCUGUGUCCUUGCACCAAUGUUCUUCGGCAUCUUCUUCUUUAUGCUCCUCCAAAACACCUUCAGGGUCUGCAGUGAGGGAGUCUACAUUCAAACCAGGGAUGAUGGCAAGCUGUUAAACAUCUUCUGUCUCCGUGCUAAAACUAAAGUUGCAGAGGUACUCAUCUGUGAUAUGCUCUUCACCGACGACACUGUCUUGACGUCAUACAUGGAAGAUGGUCUACAGCAGUUUGUCAACCUCCUCUCCCAUGCCUGCAAGGAGUUGGAAUGACCAUCAAUCUGAAGAAGACCAACAUCAUGGCAAGGAUGAAUUCAGUGGCAGGACAAAGUACCCAACUCAGAGGUUCUGGAAUGUGUUGGCAUGAACAGCUUGUUCACCACUCUCAGCAAAAGGCUGCUUUAAUGGCUUGGCCACAUCAGGAGAAUGAAACAAGGUCACAUUACCAAGGACCUUGUGGCAGGGCGGAGGGCGGGGCCGGGUCGUGAUCCUACAAACCCGGUCCCGUUUUAGGCCCUGCCACAGACCUACUAUACGGUGAGCUAGUAGAGGGCUCAAGGCCAACUGGAUGCCCACUUCUGUGCUACAAAGACAUCUGCAAGAAAGACAUGAAGCUGUCCAACAUCGACAUCAACACGUGGGAAAGUAGCGCAGACGACCGCUCCGCUUGGCGCCUUGCUGUCAGAAAGGGCAUACAGAAAGCCGAGGAGGCCAGAUGCAAAAACCUUGCUCAAAGAGAACAAGGAGGAAGUAAAAACUUUGGCAGCCUCAGCAGGUGUCACCAUCAUUCAUUUGCAGCAGAUGUCUGACUAUUCAGCCACUCACAAAGGACUCUUCAGGCUACUGCAGAAGAUUGGGUGCCCUCCAUGACUGCUAGCCAUUGUCACCUAAUUCUACAAGGCUGCUGACUUUCGAUUACGUGCUCCAUCAUGGCCUGGCCACGCCCUCCUCCUUGUCACAAUUCACUUGAUGCAUCCUCCAAAAUAUGGAAAAAGAAAGCUGUGAAAUGAAGCUGCAAAGGAUCCUCACAAUUGAGACGGCCUGCAAUGGUGCUUGAUGAUGUGGCAGACAAGGUAUUCAACUUAACUAGGCUGCUGCCUUUCGAUUGAGAAACACCAAUAGUGCAGCUUCAAUUGCAGCACUACUGAACACUUCCUCCUUCCUAGACUAGCAGGAACUGGAUAUUUUUUUCACCCAUUAGAGGGUGCUUAAGACAAAACAAUGAAUUCAUUUUAAUUUCCUAUGGGUUCAGGAAAUUAAAAUGAAUUCAGUCCAGAACACUUCCCGUCUGAGAUUUUGAAAAUCCCACAUUAACUUGAUCACAUAUCCUUAUAGUCUACAGAGAAGAGAAGAACAAAAACUUCAGAGCUGAGGUGUGACAGGAUCUUUUUGGUGCCUUCCUUUGUCACAUUAAUGUCAUCUUUUCUCACCAACCCAUCUUGGUGAAGUUUUCACAACAACAUCCAUAGGCCACAUGUUACUACUGACCUAAAUUACUUUUACCCAGAUUAAGAUUUACUAAGAUUAAGAUUGGGCCUCUUAUCUAGCCACUUUCUUCUGCACUGCAAGGUAUUGAGGUAAACUUUUCACAACUUUGUCUUUAAACUUGCUUACACUCUUUCUUAAGCAGUUCACUUUUCCGAAAGUCUCCAGGUGGAGGUGGUGCUACAUCUGUCUUUUGAGUCAAAAGUGUACCAGGAGUGGGGAUAAAGAGAGAUUCUGUGUCAGAGGACACUAGGAAAAGGGGUCUUGCAUUCAUCACUGCAGAGAAUUUCUCCUUCAGCAGCAUGAAAUCAAGGAUGCAACAGUCAAUACCAAUCAUCCAUUCCCAAUUGCUGACCAUUUAAGAAACAUGGGGAUGACAGAAUACUCAGAUGCAUUGCUGCUCUUUCAGAUAUGCCAGCACAUUCUCAGAACUGAGGCAAGCAUCUUGAGCUUUUGAGGAGCUCCAAAAAGGUUUGUACCCCAAUCUGAAUGUAUUUGCUUGGCUGACCCUCUGAUGGCAAAACCUCCUCAAGGCAUUGAUAAAUCUGCUGGAACUCAUUGUUUCAAUUAUGUUCAUGUGAACAGCAUUUGUGCAAAAUACAUAAAAAAACCAAUACUGCCCACCUCUUGGAAUUGGCCUGACCUCCUCUGGACUUGUGAGCAACCACUUUCUAUGGUCUGAAGACACCCACAUAAUUGAAAGAUGGAGCAACUGUUAACCGUUCUGCAGGCAAAUCAACCAUUUACUGAUGUUCUGUCUCCCACUCCAACAAUUACAAAUACUUCUCCCAGUCAAAGUCCUGUGAUUUCCAGCAGGUUACCCAGAGCUCUAAUCUUUCAGGUGACAGGAAACACAAUAAUGGCAGACAUGCUCCCAGACAGAAAAACAGGAAUUACAAUGACAGAAGGGAAGGACAUAAAAUUGGGAGAUGCAGGGAAACUAAAAGCAUGGACAGUGACAACUUAUCAAAGAUCUGUCACAUGCUUUUUGAAGCCCUAAAGGACCUUAAGUCUGAGGAGCACAUGUCCAGGCAGAAUAGGAACCUUGGGCAUAAUUUCCCAAUUAUGAUUGAUCUUAGCGGUAAGUAGUGUUUUCUACAAGUGAUUUUAUGAGCAUGCUUAUUAUUUACAAGUGCAUCUCAAAAAAAUUUAAUAUCAUUGAAUGUUAAAAUGAAUUUCAGUCUUGCCCGUAAUUUUAUUAAAA
Molecule: long non-coding RNA, 2906 nt
Organism: Xyrauchen texanus (razorback sucker)
Lineage: Eukaryota; Metazoa; Chordata; Actinopteri; Cypriniformes; Catostomidae
Exons: 3
Source: RefSeq, a predicted model, not a curated record